This 503-nucleotide ribosomal RNA is filed under the name uncultured bacterium. RNAcentral describes it as "bacterial SSU rRNA". It matches the Rfam family "Bacterial small subunit ribosomal RNA", at positions 29 to 524 of the family's 1533-position model. The record is from RNAcentral.
AUUGAACGCUGGCGGCGUGCCUAACACAUGCAAGUCGAGCGGUAACAGGUGUAGCAAUACAUGCUGACGAGCGGCGGACGGGUGAGUAACGCUUGGGAAUCUGCCUGUUAGUGGGGGACAACCCGGGGAAACGUCGGGCUAAUACCGCAUACGCACUACGGUGGAAAGCCGGGGACCGCAAGGCCUGGCGCUAACAGAUGAGCCCAAGUCGGAUUAGCUAGUUGGUAGGGAACGGCCUACCAAGGCGACGAUCCGUAACUGGUCUGAGAGGACGACCAGUCACACCGGAACUGAGACACGGUCCGGACUCCUACGGGAGGGCAGCAGUGGGGAAUAUUGGACAAUGGGCGAAAGCCUGAUCCAGCGACGCCGCGUGGGUGAAGAAGGCCUGCGGGUUGUAAAGCCCUUUCAGUGGGGAAGAAAAGCCUCGAGUUAAUACCUCGGGGUCUUGACGUAACCCAUGAAGAAGCACCGGCUAACUCUGUGCCAGCCGCCGCCGUAAC